CUCGGGUUUAUAAUUCAAUCUGCAUCUAUUUGCUUCUUGACAGAAGAAGAUAAAAUAAUAGCACAGCUCUGUUUUCUUUCUAGCUAGGAGCAGAUAGCUGCAGUUUACCCUCUGGUGGAAGCUGUGCCAGUUUUCAUGGUGUUUCAGAUGAAUGAUGCUGCUGCUCUAUGAAAGUAAAUCCUGGUGUCCUGGAGUGAGUCUCAGGUUGUUCUGCUGUUUGUUUCUGUAGCAGCCCAGGAAAGAAAUGCAUCAAGCCAGAUUUGUCUUCUUCCUAAAGCCAGAAGUGGCUGUGGCAGAGGCAGAUGAAAUGGACUGAUACAAAACUGAUGCAGACCCAGCAGAUAUCAGAAUCCAGACAGAUGUGCAAGAUGAGGACAAAGAGCCUUUCAAUCUCCUUGCCCACAGGAUGCUCGGAAGGGACCUCUUCACUCUCACCAGAGAGCGAUGUAGACUGCCAGACCCAAUGUCUCAUAGACUGCAGGCAGGGACAUUACUACACAGCUGGCAACUGCUUGGAAUGUCCAACUGGCUUUUAUUGCCCUGGGGGUCAAAAAGCUCCAAGGAAAUGCCCAUUGGGAACAGCUAAUGAGCUUACAGCUCAAGUGGACAUCAUAGCCUGCCGGGUAAGCAGAUGAGCAGGGAAGGACAGUCAGGUGGAAGGAGUAUUUUCCACAUCUCUACAUUUGCUGCCACAUAUUU
Molecule: long non-coding RNA, 699 nt
Filed under: Coturnix japonica (Japanese quail)
Lineage: Eukaryota; Metazoa; Chordata; Aves; Galliformes; Phasianidae
Description: lncRNA (ENSCJPG00005006630.1)
Source: RNAcentral